AUGGGGUGACUGCGUACCUUUUGUAUAAUGGGUCAGCGACUUAUAUUCUGUAGCAAGGUUAACCGAAUAGGGGAGCCGAAGGGAAACCGAGUCUUAACUGGGCGUUAAGUUGCAGGGUAUAGACCCGAAACCCGGUGAUCUAGCCAUGGGCAGGUUGAAGGUUGGGUAACACUAACUGGAGGACCGAACCGACUAAUGUUGAAAAAUUAGCGGAUGACUUGUGGCUGGGGGUGAAAGGCCAAUCAAACCGGGAGAUAGCUGGUUCUCCCCGAAAGCUAUUUAGGUAGCGCCUCGUGAAUUCAUCUCCGGGGGUAGAGCACUGUUUCGGCAAGGGGGUCAUCCCGACUUACCAACCCGAUGCAAACUGCGAAUACCGGAGAAUGUUAUCACGGGAGACACACGGCGGGUGCUAACGUCCGUCGUGAAGAGGGAAACAACCCAGACCGCCAGCUAAGGUCCCAAAGUCAUGGUUAAGUGGGAAACGAUGUGGGAAGGCCCAGACAGCCAGGAUGUUGGCUUAGAAGCAGCCAUCAUUUAAAGAAAGCGUAAUAGCUCACUGGUCGAGUCGGCCUGCGCGGAAGAUGUAACGGGGCUAAACCAUGCACCGAAGCUGCGGCAGCGACACU
RNAcentral lists this ribosomal RNA (626 nucleotides) under Escherichia coli. RNAcentral describes it as "partial 23S ribosomal RNA". It matches the Rfam family "Bacterial large subunit ribosomal RNA", at positions 588 to 1215 of the family's 2925-position model. The record is from RNAcentral. Lineage: Bacteria; Pseudomonadati; Pseudomonadota; Gammaproteobacteria; Enterobacterales; Enterobacteriaceae. RNAcentral also lists the same sequence under 1 other name.